UGGGGAAUUUUGGACAAUGGGCGAAAGCCUGAUCCAACCAUGCCGCGUGAGUGAAGAAGGCCUUCGGGUUGUAAAGCUCUUUUAGUCGGAAAGAAAGAGUUGCAAUGAAUAAUUGUGAUUUAUGACGGUACCGACAGAAAAAGCACCGGCUAACUACGUGCCAGCAGCCGCGGUAAUACGUAGGGUGCGAGCGUUAAUCGGAAUUACUGGGCGUAAAGGGUGCGCAGGCGGUCUUGCAAGUCAGAUGUGAAAGCCCCGGGCUUAACCUGGGAAUUGCGUUUGAAACUACAAGGCUAGAGUGCAGCAGAGGGGAGUGGAAUUCCAUGUGUAGCAGUGAAAUGCGUAGAGAUGUGGAAGAACACCGAUGGCGAAGGCAGCUCCCUGGGUUGACACUGACGCUCAUGCACGAAAGCGUGGGGAGCAAACA
This 427-nucleotide ribosomal RNA is filed under the name uncultured beta proteobacterium. RNAcentral describes it as "bacterial SSU rRNA". It matches the Rfam family "Bacterial small subunit ribosomal RNA", at positions 355 to 774 of the family's 1533-position model. Lineage: Bacteria; Pseudomonadati; Pseudomonadota; Betaproteobacteria. The record is from RNAcentral.